UGGGGAAUAUUGCACAAUGGGCGCAAGCCUGAUGCAGCCAUGCCGCGUGUGUGAAGAAGGCCUUCGGGUUGUAAAGCACUUUCAGCGAGGAGGAAGGUGGUGAACUUAAUACGUUCAUCAAUUGACGUUACUCGCAGAAGAAGCACCGGCUAACUCCGUGCCAGCAGCCGCGGUAAUACGGAGGGUGCAAGCGUUAAUCGGAAUUACUGGGCGUAAAGCGCACGCAGGCGGUUUGUUAAGUCAGAUGUGAAAUCCCCGGGCUCAACCUGGGAACUGCAUUUGAAACUGGCAAGCUAGAGUCUCGUAGAGGGGGGUAGAAUUCCAGGUGUAGCGGUGAAAUGCGUAGAGAUCUGGAGGAAUACCGGUGGCGAAGGCGGCCCCCUGGACGAAGACUGACGCUCAGGUGCGAAAGCGUAGGGAGCAAACAGGAUUAGAUACCCUGGUAGUCCACGCUGUAAACGAUGUCGAUUUUGGAGGUUGUGCCCUUGAGGCGUGGCUUCCGGAGCUAACGCGUUAAAUCGACCGCCUGGGGAG
RNAcentral lists this ribosomal RNA (534 nucleotides) under uncultured bacterium. RNAcentral describes it as "partial 16S ribosomal RNA". It matches the Rfam family "Bacterial small subunit ribosomal RNA", at positions 355 to 880 of the family's 1533-position model. The record is from RNAcentral.